RNAcentral lists this ribosomal RNA (301 nucleotides) under uncultured bacterium. RNAcentral describes it as "partial 16S ribosomal RNA". It matches the Rfam family "Bacterial small subunit ribosomal RNA", at positions 509 to 807 of the family's 1533-position model. The record is from RNAcentral.
CAGUCGCCGCGGUAACACAGAGGGUGCGAGCGUUAAUCGGAUUUACUGGGCGUAAAGCGUGCGUAGGCGGCUUUUUAAGUCGGAUGUGAAAUCCCUGAGCUUAACUUAGGAAUUGCAUUCGAUACUGGGAAGCUAGAGUAUGGGAGAGGAUGGUAGAAUUCCAGGUGUAGCGGUGAAAUGCGUAGAGAUCUGGAGGAAUACCGAUGGCGAAGGCAGCCAUCUGGCCUAAUACUGACGCUGAGGUACGAAAGCAUGGGGAGCAAACAGGAUUAGAUACCCCCGUAGUCCCUGUCUCUUAUAC